Molecule: unclassified non-coding RNA, 379 nt
Filed under: soil metagenome
Description: partial contains 5.8S ribosomal RNA, internal transcribed spacer 2, and large subunit ribosomal RNA
Rfam family: 5.8S ribosomal RNA (bases 1-120)
Source: RNAcentral
GAUGAAGAACGUAGUGAAAUGCGAUAAGUAAUGUGAAUUGCAGAAUUCAGUGAAUCAUCGAAUCUUUGAACGCACCUUGCGCUCCUUGGUAUUCUGAGGAGCAUGCCUGUUUGAGUAUCAUAAAAUUGUCAACUGUGUCACUUUUAUAGUGAUUUACAGAUUAGAUAUGGGAGUUUUUGCAGGCCUAGUUUGUCAGCUCUCCUGAAACACAUUAGCAGUGCCUUGUUGGUCCUUGGGUGUGAUAAUUUAUCUAUGCCUUGACGUGUACCUUCAUGAAGGUUGUGCUGCUUCCAAUGGUCUUUGGACACAUUUAUUGAAGAUUUGAUCUCAAAUCAGGCAGGACUACCCGCUGAACUUAAGCAUAUCAAUAAGCGGAGGA